UACGUAGGGUGCGAGCGUUGUCCGGAAUUAUUGGGCGUAAAGAGCUUGUAGGCGGUUUGUCGCGUCUGCUGUGAAAUCUCAAGGCUCAACCUUGAGCUUGCAGUGGGUACGGGCAGACUAGAGUGUGGUAGGGGAGACUGGAAUUCCUGGUGUAGCGGUGAAAUGCGCAGAUAUCAGGAGGAACACCUAUGGCGAAGGCAGCUCGCUGGGACGUUACUGACGCUGAGACGCGAAAGCGUGGGGAGCGAACAGG
This 253-nucleotide ribosomal RNA is filed under the name uncultured bacterium. RNAcentral's name for it is "partial 16S ribosomal RNA". It matches the Rfam family "Bacterial small subunit ribosomal RNA", at positions 524 to 776 of the family's 1533-position model. The record is from RNAcentral.